CAGCGCGCGGUAAUACAGAGGGUGCAAGCGUUAAUCGGAAUUACUGGGCGUAAAGCGCGCGUAGGUGGUUUGUUAAGUUGGAUGUGAAAGCCCCGGGCUCAACCUGGGAACUGCAUCCAAAACUGGCAAGCUAGAGUACGGUAGAGGGUGGUGGAAUUUCCUGUGUAGCGGUGAAAUGCGUAGAUAUAGGAAGGAACACCAGUGGCGAAGGCGACCACCUGGACUGAUACUGACACUGAGGUGCGAAAGCGUGGGGAGCAAACAGGAUUAGAUACCCCUGUAGUCCCUGUCUCUUAUACAC
RNAcentral lists this ribosomal RNA (301 nucleotides) under uncultured bacterium. RNAcentral describes it as "partial 16S ribosomal RNA". It matches the Rfam family "Bacterial small subunit ribosomal RNA", at positions 509 to 809 of the family's 1533-position model. The record is from RNAcentral.